AAUAUCCAAGUUAUCAUGUAGUCUCAGAACCCAAUUUGUAAGUCGCUCUGGAUAAGAGCGUCUGCUAAAUGACUUAAAUGUAAAUGGUAUAUCCAAGAGAAAUGUAAUGAGGUGCCUAAAAUCCUGAUCUCGGUCCAGAGUAUGCAGGUUGUGCUGAGUACCUUGGGACUAAAGAGAAAGACUGCACCCUGAGAAUCACAGACCUGAGAGAUUUUCAGCUACAUAGAAAGUACAAGUUCAGAUUUAAAACACAGUAUGCAGAAUGAGGGUACAGCUUCCCUGUAACAACUCUGACUGACACAGGUAAUAUAUAAUAUCUAAUUCUAAUAAUUCAUUAGAAUCAUUCAGAGCUGCAGGUGAAGGUGUCUUCCUCCACAGAGGAAAAGAAGAGAACACUGACCUGUAGCACCACCUGUCUUCUGACUGACAACCCCAACCUCACCUACAUCUGGUACAACAACGGACAACAUCUCCAUGACCCUACUUCCCAACAAUACUCCUGUAAUACUCUAGUGGUCGGGUGUUACUCUACAGACAGUUACUCCUGUGCUGUAAAAGAACAUGAGGAUUUUCUCACUCCUACAUUGUGUGAGUCUGAACUCACCUAUAAUAAUCAUCAUAAGUAUCAAUCAUUAAGGCCUGUGGACCAAUAGUAGAACAUGUGGGGAAAACAGACAAAUCGGUGCACUCUUGGAUAGUAACACUAGUAGGAACUAUACAGUAUAAUAGAAAAGGUAGAAAAUGGCUGAUGGUAUGUUAUCUUGUUAUAUCGUUUUAGAAUUGACAUUUUUUAAAUUAAUUUUAGAAUAAGACUGUAAUGUAACAACAUGAAAAAGUCCAGGGUUCUGAAUACUUUCUGAAUGCACUGUGUGUGUCUAUAUAUUUUAUUCAUUUUAAAUUAACCAGUCCUAUACAUCUAAAACACUUGAAAAUAGUCUCAUUAUCGUUUGAGGAAUUGAUAAGAUACAUUUACUUUCAGGUGUUCAUGGUCAGAGCUGUUUGAAUGUGACUCACACCAAGAGGAGUAUCUGUGCCUUGAAGGGGUCAACAGUGGACAUUACCUGCACGUAUAGACAUCCCAGCUGGCAUAACGUCACAGAAGUAUCCUGGUUCAACAAAUGGGAGUCUGGAGUUACUACAGAUCUAAUCCAGGACCCAGAGUAUGCAGGUCGUGUUAAGUACCAUCCAACUACAGACAAAGACUCCACCCUGAGAAUCACAGACCUGAGAGAGAGUGACUCUGCUGAAUAUAAGUUUAGAUUUACAACAACGGAGGUAAAAUGGGAAAACAGCUUCCCUGGAAUAACUCUGUCACAGACCUGCAGGUGAAGGAGACUCCUGGCACAGAGGAAGAGAAGGUGACACUGACCUGUAGCACCACCUGUACUCUAACUGACAACCCCACCUACAUCUGGUACAAGAACAGACAACUUCUCAUCAACCCAAGAUAACUUCCUGAUCCUAGACCCAGUCAGCAGUGAGGAUACAGGCAGCUACUCCUGUGCUGUUGAAGACUACGAGAAUUGCCUGUUACGUUAGUCUUUGAAGAAUGAUGUUGUAGGAAUCAUAGUUGUUGUUCUGAUUCUAAUACUCUGUGUCUUUGGGUUCAGUUGAGUGAGAUGAAUUUAUCCUUUUUCAAAUUAUAUUUUAUAAUGAUCAAAAUCAUUUAUAUUGCUUGAUUGAUUGUUGAUUGAUGUAUUAAUUGAUUCAUUCAUUCACAAAACAGGAAGAAGGCCUCCAAUUCCACCUCUGACACAAGAGACGGAAGAGACACAGCAGAGAACGGACAGAGAGACUCUAAUCCAGUGUAUGACAACAUCUCAGGCAUGAACUUGUCCCCUAUUGCAGCACAGAGAGCGAUCACAGACGAGCAGGAUGACAUUACCUACGCCAGCAUCCAACACAGAAACCAGGAAGUGCCUCUUGACUCCACCGUCCCACCGUCUCACCCCCAGAAACAGGACGAGGAUUUCCAGUACACUACUGUGAAAUUCAACAGCCCCAGUGCUGCUCAAUAGACAUUGGGAGGGAUUCAAUCCAAUCAUAGAGGGGGGAUCUUUUUUUUUUACAGCAACUUCCUUGUUGUAAUAUCUCAAACGGGGAGUUUCAGCAUUAAGGAUUCCAGCUUUAAAUAACACAAUAUAACCAACUUUAUUCAUAGUAAAUGUACUAUAAAUCACAGUGAUUUAAACAUCCCAUCCAUACACCACACUAAACCUACACAUAGUCUGUGUCUGAAAUGGCAUCCUAUUCCCUACAUACUGUCAGGUGACAUUUCAGACACAGAUUUCCUCUUUAACUGUUAAGGGCCAAACAAAUGAUACCAGUUCAACAGGUUGAAGGUUGUAGCUGCUAUGCCACCUUGUUUAAUGAGGUGAGGUCCUCAAUAAAUGACUAAAUACAACUAAACACAGGUUCUUUUCAUCAGGGGUGGGGCAUGGAAAUGACACAGUGAGAUGCUGCAAUUGACAGCUUCUGUUUAUCUUUUGUAUCUAAGCAACAAUAUAUAGCAGCCAUAAAUCAUUAACCAAUG
Oncorhynchus keta (chum salmon) is the source of this 2533-nucleotide long non-coding RNA. RefSeq lists it as uncharacterized. The record is from RefSeq and is a predicted model, not a curated record. Lineage: Eukaryota; Metazoa; Chordata; Actinopteri; Salmoniformes; Salmonidae. The transcript has 3 exons.